UACCUGGUGAUAUGAGACUGUUUUGGA
Molecule: non-coding RNA, 27 nt
Filed under: Homo sapiens (human)
Lineage: Eukaryota; Metazoa; Chordata; Mammalia; Primates; Hominidae
Source: RNAcentral